AACGUCCCAGUUCGGACUGUAGUCUGCAACCCGACUACACGAAGCUGGAAUCGCUAGUAAUCGCGAAUCAGAAUGUCGCGGUGAAUACGUUCCCGGGUCUUGUACACACCGCCCGUCACACCAUGGGAGUCGGGAAUGCCCGAAGUCAGUGACCCAACCUAUAGGAGGGAGCUGCCGAAGGCAGGUCUGAUAACUGGGGUGAAGUCGUAACAAGGUAUC
This 219-nucleotide ribosomal RNA is filed under the name uncultured bacterium. RNAcentral describes it as "partial 16S ribosomal RNA". It matches the Rfam family "Bacterial small subunit ribosomal RNA", at positions 1282 to 1500 of the family's 1533-position model. The record is from RNAcentral.